UCUUCAUUCCACACACUCUCUCACCGGUCGGAGAGGCGAGAGAGAGAGAGAGUGUGUGAAAUGAAGAGA
This 69-nucleotide microRNA precursor is filed under the name Pristionchus pacificus. RNAcentral describes it as "mir-8364 microRNA precursor family". It matches the Rfam family "mir-8364 microRNA precursor family". The record is from Rfam by way of RNAcentral. Lineage: Eukaryota; Metazoa; Nematoda; Chromadorea; Rhabditida; Neodiplogasteridae.